GGGCCCGCACAAGCGGAGGAACAUGUGGUUUAAUUCGAUGAUACGCGAGGAACCUUACCCGGGCUUGAAUUGCAGAGGAAUGUGGGAGAGAUUCCACAGCCGCAAGGUCUCUGUGAAGGUGCUGCAUGGUUGUCGUCAGCUCGUGCCGUGAGGUGUUGGCUCAAGUGCCAUAACGAGCGCAACCCCUGUUUCCAGUUGCCAUCGGGCAAAGCCGGGCACUCUGGAGAUACUGCCGUCGUAAGAUGCGAGGAAGGUGGGGAUGACGUCAAAUCAGCACGGCCCUUACGUCCGGGGCCACACACGUGUUACAAUGGGGGGUACAGAAGGCAGCUGCCGUGCGAGCGGCGGCGAAUCCGGAAAGCCCCUCCCAGUUCGGACUGGAGUCUGCAACCCGACUCCACGAAGCUGGAUUCGCUAGUAAUCGCGCAUCAGCCAUGGCGCGGUGAAUACGUUCCCGGGCCUU
RNAcentral lists this ribosomal RNA (463 nucleotides) under uncultured bacterium. RNAcentral's name for it is "bacterial SSU rRNA". It matches the Rfam family "Bacterial small subunit ribosomal RNA", at positions 917 to 1382 of the family's 1533-position model. The record is from RNAcentral.